AUUGAUCGCUGGCGGAAUGCUUUACGCAUGCAAGUCGAGACGGCAGCACGGACUCUCGGUCUGGUGGCGAGUGGCGAACGGGUGAGUAAUGUACUCGGAUACGUGUCCAGUCGUGGGGGAUAACGUAGUGAAAACUUACGCUAAUACCGCAUACGAUCUAUGGAUGAAAGCGGGGGAUCGCAAGACCUCGCGCGAUUGGAGCGGCCGAUAUCAGAUUAGGUAGUUGGUAGGGUAAAGGCCUGCCAAGCCACCGAUCUGUAGCUGGUCUGAGAGGGCGACCAGCCACACUGGAACUGAGACACGGUCCAGACUCCUUCGGGAGGCAGCAGUGGGGAAUUUUGGACAAUGGGCGAAAGCCUGAUCCAGCCAUUCCGCGUGCAGGAUGAAGGCCCUCGGGUUGUAAACUGCUUUUGU
Molecule: ribosomal RNA, 414 nt
Filed under: uncultured Comamonadaceae bacterium
Lineage: Bacteria; Pseudomonadati; Pseudomonadota; Betaproteobacteria; Burkholderiales; Comamonadaceae
Description: bacterial SSU rRNA
Rfam family: Bacterial small subunit ribosomal RNA
Source: RNAcentral